AUUCGUCCAAUUGAAGCAGAGGACAGUGGCGGACGGGUGAGUAACGCGUGAGGAACCUGCCUUCAGGAUGGGGACAACAGACGGAAACGACUGCUAAUACCGAAUAAGUUCCAAGAGCCGCAUGGCCCAUGGAAGAAAAGGUGGCCUCUACCUGUAAGCUAUCGCCUGAAGAGGGGUUUGCGUCUGAUUAGCUGGUUGGAGGGGUAACGGCCCACCUAGUCUUCGAUGGAUAGGGGUUCUGAGAGGAAGGUCCCCCACAUUGGAACUGAGACACGGUCCAAACUCC
RNAcentral lists this ribosomal RNA (286 nucleotides) under uncultured Dialister sp. RNAcentral describes it as "partial 16S ribosomal RNA". It matches the Rfam family "Bacterial small subunit ribosomal RNA", at positions 73 to 339 of the family's 1533-position model. The record is from RNAcentral. Lineage: Bacteria; Bacillati; Bacillota; Negativicutes; Veillonellales; Veillonellaceae.